This 1131-nucleotide ribosomal RNA is filed under the name Darevskia caucasica. RNAcentral's name for it is "partial 16S ribosomal RNA". It matches the Rfam family "Bacterial large subunit ribosomal RNA", at positions 733 to 2598 of the family's 2925-position model. The record is from RNAcentral. Lineage: Eukaryota; Metazoa; Chordata; Lepidosauria; Squamata; Lacertidae.
UUUUCGAGCAGCUGCCAAACCCCCAGAGCGCACCCGUCCCUGUAGCAAAAGGGUGGGAAGACUUGAAAAUAGAGGCAAAAAGCCAACCGAGCUUGGUGAUAGCUGGCUACUCAACAAAAAGAAUUUAAGUUCAACUUUAGGCACUUACGAGCCAAUCACUUAAUAAACUCACUUUCUAUAAACCUAAAGAAAAUCAAUGGGGGUACAGCCCCAUUGAACCGGGAUACAGCCCGAAUUGAGAGGAACUUUUCCCCCCCUUUUUCCUGUAGGCUUCAAAGCAGCCACCAAACAAUCGCGUUAUAGCAUGUUUAUCAAACAAUCCUAACAACUUAAUAACCCUCCUAAUCUAUAAUGAGUUAUUCUAUACUACUAUAGAAAUACCAAUGCUAAAAUUAGUAAUAAGAAACACUUAUUUCUCUCUGCACCCCCUUAAAUCAGACUAGAAAAACUACUGACAAUUAACAAACCAACUAUAACACACACUUAUCAAGCCAGGAUGUUACUAAAAACUUGUUACCCCUACACAGGCGUGCAAAAAAGAAAGACAAAAACCCAUAAAAGGAACUCGGCAAGACUUCUUUACCCCAACUGUUUACCAAAAACAUAGCCUUUAGCCCCCCAAGUAUUAAAGGUCUCGCCUGCCCAGUGACUCUUUAAACGGCCGCGGUAUCCUAACCGUGCAAAGGUAGCAUAAUCACUUGUCCCUUAAAUAGGGACUGGAAUGAAUGGCUAAAUGAGGGUUAAACUGUCUCUUGUGGGUUGUCAAUGAAAUUGAUUUUCCAGUACAAAAGCUGGAAUAGACACAUAAGACGAGAAGACCCUGUGGAGCUUCAAAACCAAGUUCAUCAAACUAAUGCUCCUUAGGUUUUUAGUUGGGGCGACUUUGGAGUAUAAAAAACCCUCCAAAAAUGUUAAACCUAUAAUAUUAAGAACAACAAAUCAAAACCACAAAAGACCCAGCAACAACCUCAGUGUUGUCUGAUCAAUGAACCAAGUUACCCCAGGGAUAACAGCGCCAUCCCCUUCUAGAGUCCUUAUCGACAAGGGGGUUUACGACCUCGAUGUUGGAUCAGGACACCCCAAUGGUGCAGCCGCCAUUAAAGGUUCGUUUGUUCAACGAUUAAAGUCCUA